CGUUUACGGCGUGGACUACCAGGGUAUCUAAUCCUGUUUGCUCCCCACGCUUUCGCAUCUGAGUGUCAGUAUCUGUCCAGGCUGCCUCCUUCGCCACCGGUAUUCCUUCAGAUCUCUACGCAUUUCACCGCUACACCUGAAAUUCUACCCCCCUCUACAGUACUCUAGUCUGUCAUUUUCUAAUGCAAUUCCGAAGAAGGAGCCCGGGCUUUCACAUCUGACUUAACAAACCACCUGCAUGCGCUUUACGCCCAGUAAUUCCGAUUAACGCUCGCACCCUCCGUAUUACCGCGGCUGCUGUUUCGGAGUUAGCCGGUGCUUCUUCUGCAGCUAACCCCCCAAUGUUUUAGAAGGAAGGGAAAAAAACUCCCC
RNAcentral lists this ribosomal RNA (372 nucleotides) under uncultured Vibrio sp. Its description in RNAcentral is "partial 16S ribosomal RNA". The record is from RNAcentral. Lineage: Bacteria; Pseudomonadati; Pseudomonadota; Gammaproteobacteria; Vibrionales; Vibrionaceae.